RNAcentral lists this long non-coding RNA (4484 nucleotides) under Citrus x clementina. Its description in RNAcentral is "Citrus clementina (C. clementina) long non-coding RNA (CCLE_LNC003998)". The record is from RNAcentral. Lineage: Eukaryota; Viridiplantae; Streptophyta; Magnoliopsida; Sapindales; Rutaceae.
UGGGCAAAAUAUCCGACCCGACCCGAUCCGACCCGAUCCGAUCCGAAAAAUUUCGGGUUCGGAUCGGAUCGGAUGGUGAACAAAACCCGAUCGGGUGAAAUUAUCUCAACCCGAUCGGAUCAUGUUCGGAUCGGGUGAAACCCGAUCCGAUCCGAAAACCCGAUCGGGUUGAGAAAAAAAAAUUUUGCAAAUAUAAAUCACAGAAUACAAAAUACAAAUACACACUCACACGAGUACACGACACAAUCACUGAAUCAGACAACCAGUAUUCAGUAACUCACAGAAUACAGAAUCUACAGAUCACACAUCACAGACUUCACAGUGUCACACAGAUUCACGGAUUUACAUUUUACAGUAAUUCACAAAGUAUUCACCUCACCGCAACAAAACAAUUCAGUAUUAGUAAUUCACAGAGAAAAGAACACAAGCAAAGCAAAGUCUCAUUUUGGCUCACAAACCCUCACUCACUCAGACACUCACCAGUCACUGCCUCACGGUAUCACAAACCCUCACUGUCACACACAAAUCACUGAAACCAGCACUCAAGCCGUCAAGCACAAGCAGCCAACCCACACCCAUUCACGCCUCACGGCCUCCGUCGCUCACCACACGCAGCAAACACACACGCACAGUUCACAGAGCUACCUUCAACCGGCCACCACACGCAGCAACCGCUGCCGAGAACGACCCCAACCGAAGUCGAAGCUGAUUUGCGAAGAUCGUGACCCGAUCUACAGAUCUGCUGCAACCAAGCGCCGGAUCCAAGCCUUGAAUCCUCCACUCCACCAUCACUCACUCCGAUUGAAGAUCCACCCGGCAAGCUGCCUCUGAUCCACUCGAGUCUCCACCAUUGGCAUUCAUGGGUCACGGCUGUUGAGUGUUGACAUCCGGCCACCACACCCUCACGGUCACGCCUCACGGGUCAUGGCUCCAGUCUCAAAACUCAAAAGGUCUCUUCACUCUCUGUUUUGGAAGUUGGAAGUUUGGAUUUGGAGCUUGAACUCUUGAAGCCCGAACCGAAUCAGCAAAUCCGGCUUUUGAACUUGUUUAAGUGAUGGUAUAUAUAUAAUAUAUAAUUAUAUAUGCAUUAAUGAUUAAUUAUAAUUGUUAUUUUUUAUAUGUUAUAUGAGAAAUGUUAAUUGUAACUUUGUAUGUUAAUUAUAUAUAAUUAUAUAUUGUUAAAUUUUAUCAAUAAAAUGAAAAUAAUCCGGCAUUAAUUUUUUGUUACUUAUUAAUAAUUGAUUUUUUGUAUGAAUAGUAAUGUUAGAUUAAAAAUUAAAAUUAAAUAUUAUGUUACAAUAUAAAUUAUAAUUAUAUAUGUCAUAUGAUAUGUGUAUUUGUACAAUAGUUUCAACUUCAACCAAAAAUUAACCAAUUUAAUUGCAGUAGUUUCAAGUUUCAACUUCAACAAAUAAUUAAUCAAUUUAAUUAAUUGCAUGAUAACCAAUAAGUAAAUAUUAAGUGGUUAAGUACAUAUAAUGUGGGCAUAAUAAGAAUUAAGAAUUUAAGAUAUGGAUAUGUAAUUAAUAUUAUUUUAUUUUGGCUAAUGGAUAAUUAGAUAUUAUAAAUUAAAUAAUUACAUUAAUUUCUUGGUUUUCUUUUAUGGAAUAUGCAUCUUGAAUUCUUGAUCAUAUAUAAAUAUUAUGGUGGAAAAUUAGAAAUAUCGAUUUCAAAAAGUUUCAUAAAAUUAAAUUAACAAUUAUUUGAAUCAAUUUGUAAUACUAACUAUUAAGUAGAUUUUUUUAAUAGUCUUUUUGUGUUUUAAUUUAUGAAUUAAUGAUUAAUAAUUAUUUUAAAUUUAAACUUUGUGUUAAUUUUAAUUUUAUGCUUUGUUUUAAUUUUUAAUUUUGAAUCAUUUGAAUUUAAUUCUAUAGUAGUUUUUGAAUCAUUUGAAUUAAUUUUGAAUCAUUCACAAAGUAUGCAGAUGCUUAAUUUUGAGUUUUUGACAAAGAAAAAUUAAAAAUGUGCAAGUAAUCAAGGCUUUUGCCUAAGUUCACAUUUCACAACACAGCAGCAGCAGCAAAUGCAAAUCCCAGAUCAAAUAUAGGCAAGAGAUGAUUCCUAAUAACUGUAGGCUGUAGCAACCCAUAGCAAUGAAACCGAGGAGGCUAAUUAAGGGCUUUCUAGAGCUUGACAAUUUCAGGAAUAUGAACUGGGUAACGAUCAAUGCAAACCAAGGGUCCGAAUAACCCAAUUGCGCCAAAUUAAUCAUAACCCGAAUUGAUCCGAAUAACCCGAAUUUAAUCCGAACCCGAUUUAACCCCAAUCCGAUCUGAUUACACCCGACCCGAAUUAACCCGAAUUCAUCCGAAUAACCCGAAUUUAAUCCGAACCCGAAUUAACCCGAAUCCAAUCCGAUCCGAACUCCACCCGACUUUUUAACCCGAUCCGAUCCGAUCCGAAUUUAAUUCGGAUCGGAUCGGAUCGGGUUAUAAGUUCGGGUGGAGUUCGGAUCGAUUUUUAUCCAACCCGACCAACCCGAAACCCGAUCGGGUUGAUCCGAACCCGACCCGAACCCGAUUUUGCCCACCCCUAAUAACAACAACAAAGAUAAUAUUGUUAAUAAUGAUAAAUUAAUUAUUUUUAUUGUUAAUAAUAAUAAUAUUAAUGAAAAUAAUAAUAAUAAUAAUAAUUAAUAAUAACUAAAAUAAUAAAGUUAAUAAAAUUUAAUAAUAAUAAUAAUAAUGAUAAUUAAUGACAUUUAAAAUAAUAAAAUUAUUUGUGAUUUGAACGAUGAUUAAUUUAGGAAAUAUGAAAAAAUUAGAAGGAUAGAAAAGUAAAUUUAUAUUUCAUUCUCAUUCCCACAUUUUCAUUUCCAACCCCCCAUGGGAAUGAGAUUGUCAUUCUUUAUUCCCAAAUUAUGUGGAACCCACACAUUUUAUUCUCAUUCCCAAAUUACAUUUUGCCAAGUAAACAUAAGUUUCAUUCUCAUUCCUUCAUUCAAAUUUCCUAAACCCACAAGUAAACUCAUCAUUAAUAUAUUGUCCAUCUGUAAACCUUUCCUUUGACUUCUGUGUAUUUUGGUGAAGAGAAACAAAAUCUAGUUCAAACUCAAACCGCAUAUGAGGAGAAUAAGAGGAGAAAUAUAGUAGCUGAUCUUGGAUGAAUUUAUAUUGAAGAUAAACUCUAAUUUCAUAAAUAUGUGGUAUGAAGAAUCCAUAUUCACAGAUUUUCUUUUUCUUAAUUGAAAUUUUUGGAAAUGAUUUGCCAUAAAGUAUUAUGGAACACCACAUAAAAUUACAAAAAAUAAUAGUUAUCAUUGAUAAUUAAUCUCAUAUUGUGACUAUAAUCAAUGAAUAAAAGGAUAAUAUAGCGUACGACAUGACACUUCUAUAUCAGAUGUCCGAUCUGUUUCGAUUUUACAAUAUUGAGUUUAAUUUUAGACAAAUAUACUGUGGUGAUACAACGUUAUGAUAUAUAUGUGAGCAAACAUCAUAGUAUUAAUUGUGGAUAGCUUCGGAAAGUCAAAUUGAACCAGAUGAAAAUUUAAAACUACCUAGGGACUCUAGCACUAAUCUUUGAACAAAAUGUAUUGUUCUAUUCGGAGCUCAUCAAAAUCAGAUUUUCUUACGAAAUUUAAUAUUCUUGAGCCAAUUCUGAAGCCACACAAGAGUAAUGUUCUUGCGAAUUCUAUUUAUACAGUACUGAUAAAUUUGUGUUAGAACUAUAAACAAAAUUAACACUUGAAAUGUAACAAAAAAUUUGUAAAUCAAUAUUAAGUGUCAAAUAAUACAUUAAUUUUGUAAAUCAUACAUAAAAUUAGUACUGAAUAAUUUUUUCUCUAGUUUUUACGAGCAUACAUCAAAUAAGGAAGUCUGCAAUUGUGAUAUUACCAGAGAAUAUUCAGAAGUUGUUAUGGAAGAUCAUCACGGGGUCUCCAUUAAGAGCAGCCUUUAUGGCUUUGUUCGUCAGUUCCUUAUUAAUACGUGAAAGAAUUACAAUAUUUUAUGCCUCUACCGGUACGAACUAAUGAUGUGAUCAAUUCCCUUAAGGAAGAUAUAGCCCAGGUCAAUGACAUUAAUCAUGUCAGAUGUCAAUUUAAAAAAAAGAUCUGGUGAUGAUUAAGUACAGAAAACAUAAGAAAAUCAAAUCAUUUAGCAAACAGCCAUUGGUUGCUAAACUAAUAAAGAUCAGCCCAUUCGGAGCAGCCAUUGAUUUUUCUCUUUCUGCUUGCUGAACCUUUCGAUUGUUCUGAUGCUUUCUCUAUUUGAUGUUGCUUAUACCAGCUGCAUUAGUUAAUUGCUCUGCUCCUAAUGUUAUGUUACUCUACGUCGUGGGGGCUGUGAUUCCAUGUCUGUUUCUCCAGUCCCUGCCAAAAAGUCUACAAUGGUGUGAUUACUGGAGAUUGUAUUCAGAAGUUGCUGGGGAAGAACACCCCACGCUCUCCAUUAAGAGCAGCCUUUUUCAUUGUCCUGCUUGCAUCGUGAUUGGAUUCCUCAUAGCGCCUUCUUUUCCCGGACGCGCCUGCAUUUACAUAUAUGUUU